This 465-nucleotide ribosomal RNA is filed under the name uncultured bacterium. Its description in RNAcentral is "partial 16S ribosomal RNA". It matches the Rfam family "Bacterial small subunit ribosomal RNA", at positions 28 to 507 of the family's 1533-position model. The record is from RNAcentral.
GAUGAACGCUGGCGGCGUGCUUAACACAUGCAAGUCGAACGAUGAAGCCCAGCUUGCUGGGUGGAUUAGUGGCGAACGGGUGAGUAACACGUGAGUAACCUGCCCUUGACUCUGGGAUAAGCCUGGGAAACUGGGUCUAAUACUGGAUAUGACUUCUCAUCGCAUGGUGGGGGUGGAAAGAUUUAUUGGUCUUGGAUGGACUCGCGGCCUAUCAGCUUGUUGGUGAGGUAAUGGCUCACCAAGGCGACGACGGGUAGCCGGCCUGAGAGGGUGACCGGCCACACUGGGACUGAGACACGGCCCAGACUCCUACGGGAGGCAGCAGUGGGGAAUAUUGCACAAUGGGCGCAAGCCUGAUGCAGCGACGCCGCGUGAGGGAUGACGGCCUUCGGGUUGUAAACCUCUUUCAGUAGGGAAGAAGCGAGGGUGACGGUACCUGCAGAAGAAGCGCCGGCUAACUACGUG